CGCUGUGCGAAGUAAUUUUAAACGUGUGAUUAGUUUUGCGCGCGGGGUAGAAAAAGAUGUGGCCCAUGCUUUGUGUAUUACUCGUGCCGCACUUCAAAGCAAAGCGUUCGUACGCACUGGAAGAUGGAUCCACGAAGGCUGAAACGAGAAGUUGCAACGUGCCCGGUCGGUAGUACUGGCAUGAUGGAAACUUUCAGCGAGUGUUCCCGCCUGAAAGCCGAGUUUGGUUUCAAGCCACCCUGGACAACUGCUGUAUGAGGCGCCGUUUCUCGGGAGGACCAGUGGGAAGGCGCCAAGUAUACGCUUCGUCCUUUUUCCUCCCAUGCCCUGAUGAAUCGAUAUCCUUGUUUUUUAUUGUGAAAGGAACGUUACAUCCAGAGCAUAAAUAAAUGAUUAAGAAAUCUG
Molecule: long non-coding RNA, 405 nt
Organism: Dermacentor albipictus
Lineage: Eukaryota; Metazoa; Arthropoda; Arachnida; Ixodida; Ixodidae
Source: RefSeq, a predicted model, not a curated record